RNAcentral lists this ribosomal RNA (522 nucleotides) under uncultured Bacillota bacterium. RNAcentral's name for it is "uncultured Firmicutes bacterium partial 16S ribosomal RNA". It matches the Rfam family "Bacterial small subunit ribosomal RNA", at positions 360 to 874 of the family's 1533-position model. The record is from RNAcentral. Lineage: Bacteria; Bacillati; Bacillota.
AAUUUUUCACAAUGGGGGAAAGCCUGAUGGAGCAACGCCGCGUGAAGGAGGAAGGCCUUCGGGUUGUAAAGUUCUGUUGUCGGGGAAGAAAACGUUUUGUUUGAACAGGGGGGGGGUUUGCCGGUCCCGGAGAGGAAAGCCCCGGAUAAUUACGUCCCCGCGCCCGGGUUAAUAGGUGGGGGGCAAGCUUUUUCGGGAUUUAUUGGGGGUAAAGCGCGCGCGGGGGGCCGUUUAAUUUUGAUGUAAAACCCCGGGGUUCACCCCGGGGUGCAUUGGAAACUGUGCGGCUUGAGUGCAGGAGAGGAAAGCGGAAUUCCACGUGGAGCGGUGAAAUGCGUAGAGAUGUGGAGGAACACCAGUGGCGAAGGCGGCUUUCUGGCCUGUAACUGACGCUGAGGCGCGAAAGCGUGGGGAGCAAACAGGAUUAGAUACCCUGGUAGUCCACGCCGUAAACGAUGUGUGCUAGGUGUUGGGGGUUUUGACACCCUCAGUGCCGCAGCUAACGCACUAAGCACUCCGCCU